RNAcentral lists this non-coding RNA (158 nucleotides) under pig gut metagenome. The record is from RNAcentral.
GGAGAAUCUUAGAUUUUCUUGAUGUUCUGUAAAUUACACAGCAAUGCAGCAACAGGAUGUUGCUGCAAACAAAAGCUGUGGCAUGGACGUCGCGUCUUUUGUGGUUGCGGGUAUAUUAUCUUUUGUUGGCAGAACAUUUAGAAAAUCUUAGAUUUGGA